Molecule: ribosomal RNA, 460 nt
Filed under: uncultured bacterium
Lineage: Bacteria
Description: partial 16S ribosomal RNA
Rfam family: Bacterial small subunit ribosomal RNA
Source: RNAcentral
CCUACGGGUGGCAGCAGUGAGGAAUAUUGGUCAAUGGCCGAGAGGCUGAACCAGCCAAGUCGCGUGAGGGAAGACGGCCCUACGGGUUGUAAACCUCUUUUGUCGGGGAGCAAAGCGAGUCACGUGUGACUCAUUGAGAGUACCCGAAGAAAAAGCAUCGGCUAACUCCGUGCCAGCAGCCGCGGUAAUACGUAGGGGGCAAGCGUUAUCCGGAUUUACUGGGUGUAAAGGGAGCGUAGACGGCGUGCCAAGUCUGAUGUGAAAGGCCGGGGCUCAACCCCGGGACUGCAUUGGAAACUGGCAUGCUGGAGUGCCGGAGGGGCAAGCGGAAUUCCUAGUGUAGCGGUGAAAUGCGUAGAUAUUAGGAGGAACACCGGUGGCGAAGGCGGCUUGCUGGACGGUAACUGACGUUGAGGCUCGAAAGCGUGGGGAGCAAACAGGAUUAGAUACCCCGGUAGUC